GUGGGCUCCAUACUGCGACCGCGCACUAGAAC
RNAcentral lists this non-coding RNA (32 nucleotides) under Geobacter sulfurreducens KN400. The record is from RNAcentral. Lineage: Bacteria; Pseudomonadati; Thermodesulfobacteriota; Desulfuromonadia; Geobacterales; Geobacteraceae.